Molecule: ribosomal RNA, 254 nt
Filed under: uncultured bacterium
Lineage: Bacteria
Description: partial 16S ribosomal RNA
Rfam family: Bacterial small subunit ribosomal RNA
Source: RNAcentral
UACGUAGGGUGCGAGCGUUAAUCGGAAUUACUGGGCGUAAAGCGUGCGCAGGCGGUUGGCAAAGUCAGCUGUGAAAUCCCCGGGCUCAACCUGGGAAUUGCAUUUGUGACUGCACGGCUAGAGUGUGUCAGAGGGGGGUAGAAUUCCACGUGUAGCAGUGAAAUGCGUAGAGAUGUGGAGGAAUACCGAUGGCGAAGGCAGCCCCCUGGGGAUAACACUGACGCUCAUGCACGAAAGCGUGGGGAGCAAACAGG